GCGGACACUAGAGUGAAUCUGCUGAGAAGAGAAGAUUGGCCUCAGACACUUCCGUCUUCAGACCUGUGCCUCUCCUUUGAGGAUCCCUUCCCCGAAGCUGCCAAGGAGAACCUUCCCUCACAUUGUUCCUCCUUUGUUCCCCGCUCUCCUUUUCCAGGCUGAGAGACCUGGGGCCUUGGAAGCAAGCACACGCUGGCUGAGCUGUGAUUCCUCCAUGUUGAUUAUAAUUUUUAUCACAUUAUAUGGGAUCCCUCUGGUGGUUACUAGGGGAUACGUCAGUUUUGAGAGAUUGGAACCUAACCAAAGAAGCUUCAAAUCUAGAGGAUAAGGGGACUCAGAGUUUACAAGUCACAGCAAGCAGAUGCUGGUCUGCUUUAGGUGCCUCUUACGGGGAUUGUGAGAGGGCUCCUGGGGCCUGAGGAGGGUCUUCUGAGGUGUGAAAGGCUGUACUGGUGGUCCCUGAAAGCCAUCGUCAUUUGUGUGAGGAGGAGUACUGGAGGAGCUGUCUUACCACAUGAAAAACAGCAUGGAGCAUCCCAGCCACAUCAAAGGCACGGUUUGAGCCUUGGGCUGUAGAGGCUCAGAGAGAGUGACAAAUAAGACCCUGGUGAGAGACCAAUGGGGACAGUAUUUCCAGACUUUGGCAUGAAACAGAUUUCUGAGCACCUCAUGAAAUGUCUGCAAGGGCAGCUCCUCAGAGUGACCCUCCCAAAUCAAUCAAAGCUGGCCCCCUAUCUUAAUUAUGACUUACAAAUAGAAGCAUGCACCUGGCUGGAUGCAGUUUGCCACAUGGUUUACAAUAGCGGUAGAAUAAGAAAUAACUUACCAAACGAGUACAUUUUCUUGGCUGGCUGGGGCACUCAGAGUUGACACUGGAGUAUUUAGCCUGGAUGAAACUUGAUACUUCAAAAAGAAUCACUUGCUAAAGGGAGAAGUGAGCCCCACCUUCUGUUAGGAAGAUGUGUUUGUUUAUUGGCUGCUUCAAGAACAUAAGCUCCUCUCACCAUCUACUCACUGUAUUCUAAGUGUGAGGCAUAUGGUGGGUAUUUGGCUUGGUGUGUUAAUCAAACUGUCAGCAAAGGAAAAAAAAAAGAAGAAGAAGAAAGGGCACAUUCUAUCCAAAUGAAGAAAAAUCUGAGCUUUCUACAACAAACACAUUUUCCAGUGGAUGAGCUUCUCACACAGUAAUUAUUUCACUUCUCCCAGAGAUUACUGAUUACAUCACACAGAAAAACUAAAUGAGGGCUGUUUUAUCUUUCUCAUCUCUCUGUGGUUCUUGUGCAAACUUAUACUUGUUAUCAUGAAAAAUGACAAAUUUGCCAUCUGAUCAAAAUGUUAACAAGGUAACUGUCAGUGAGAUGGAUCUCUGACUGUCACUGCAAGCCAGAACAUGAGGAUACAUUGAUAUUUCUCAAUACAGCCCCUGCUUCCCCAACGUUCACUAACUACAUUUCCACAGUAAGGUAAUAAAUCACUCAGAAAUAACGAGCUAUAUAGGAUCUCUGGGGUAUGAUAGAUGUGUCCUAACAGCACUAUCUGCAAGAUAGAAAACAAUUGAUAAUGAUCUAAAGAAAACCCUAAUCAACUGCCAUUUUCCAUAAUGGGGUAGAUGAAGCAAAGAUAUGAAAUCUUAACUAUGUGAUGCAUGUUAUGACAAAACCGGACUGCUCCAAAAAAAACCCACACAGCCCCAAACAAAACACAAAUGACCUAACAUUACGUAGGGUCGAAUAAAUGAAAAAUAAAGUUAAUAACACAGUCUGGAUACAAACAUUAUAUUGGACACUGGCAAUGAUGGGAUAAUCACAGCAAUUGCUGGGUCCACAAACAGCUAAAUAGUGGAGGGUUCCUCAUAUAACAUGAAUGAAGACUCUGGCUCAGUUAUUGGUUUAAUGAACUCUCCUCCAAUACUUUUAUGUUCUUUAAGACUCUUUGGGCCACAUUAUUUCUGAGCCUUUAAUUCAAUGGUUUAACCAAUCAUUUCCCCCACCCCCCCCCCCCCGCCCCUUAGCAACGUGGCCAAGUGCCACAUCCAAAGGAACCAAGAGAGAAGAGGAGAAGUCCAUAUGGAAAUAGGAGGUAAUCAAAGACAGAACACAAGAUAGAAAACUUCUGCAAGAAGAUCAUGGCUUCAGAUCACAGGGACAAAGAAGCAUGGCAUCAAACUGCCAAGAAGCUGCCUCAUAACGACAUCCCUUUAGGUUUUAAGGUUAAGAAGUCUCACAUAGCCACAGUUGGUCUCCUGCCUGUCCCCUCUGCUCGUUUGUCUUUGGCCAUUCCUGCUUCUGCUGUUUGUAGAAUACUCCAAGCGCCUUCCCUCCCCAAGACCUUGUGCCUGCUCUUCUCUCUCUCUCAGGGAUCUCUCUCCUCCCUGGCUCCUUCCCUUCAUCCAGCUUAAAUCUUCCCCAAGGAACCUGCCUUGCCCUUCGGUUUCAAAGUAGCCUCUACUACCACCCCUUUGGUCUCUAUCAGCUUCAUCGAUAGCAGAAAGAACCAUGUCUGUCUGGACCACUGUAAUUUCCAGGCUUCUAGCACUUUCUCUUCUCUAGUAGGGAUUAAGCACAGUCCCAAUCCUGGGCUCUGGGAUACAGGACUGACUAGCCUUGAAUCUAGUGCCACAACUAAGUACCUGUGUCCCACUGUGCAAGCACUCAAUUUCUAUGUGCCUCAGGUCCCUCAUUUGUAAAACAGAGAGAAUAGCAAUGCCUAUAAAUGACAGCGUUUUGAAGACUAAAUCACUUUAUCAAUGUAAAGAGCCUGAGAUAGUAUCAGGCAUACAGGAAUCCAUCAAUCAGCUGCUGUUUUUAUAAGAGCAAGAACAGAGGUAAUUCAGACAUAAAGUGAAUUAAUUCAUGAUUAUAGACGUUAGAUCAAUGAGUCACCUUCAUCAUUCCAGGUUUUUAUUUUACCAUUAGCCAAAACAGUAUUGUGCUCCUUCUAAUUCCAUAUUCUCAGACUACAUGGAAUGAAUGGGUAUUGGUCUUUAAGCCUCUUUGAGCAAUGCCAAUAAAUACAGUCACUUCCAAUUUGAGGGCACUUGGAAUAGCAGUGCUAUUGUUCCUUUGACAUCUCAACAGCACUUGAAAGUGAAAGAAAAAAAAAUAGAUUAAUGGAUGUAUUCCCUAAAGCAACAAACAUGUUUGAUGUAUAAACAUAUGUUAUGGGCAAUGACGCUGUACCUUUGGUGCCACGUCUCAACAAUUCUCUUUUCAUCUAUCCCCUAAUCAUGCAACUGAAUGCUUCCAGUAGGCCACACAGUAGGGACAAAAUGAUAGUAAGACCACCUGGCUAUAGAUACCUGCUUCUAGAGAGGCCAGGUUCCAACCCAUUACAAGCUGAUAACCAUAUGUAUGAUUUUUGCUACACUGGCCAAGUAUUUGGAUCUUUUUUAAACAUAUUUGAUUAUUUACCCUUUGAUUAGAAUUUGUGAAUAAAAAUGUCUUUUAAGAGACACAAAGGAAGGGGGUACGGGCAAUAGCUCAUUACUAAAAAUCAUUUUAGUGUGGAAAGUGGGCUUCACUAUUCCUAUAAGGCAGUCAUUUUCAAACUUCAGAGCAUCACAAGCCCCCUGUUAGAUUCUAAUAGAACCCUGAGGAAAAUGCACAUACACAUAAAUGUUCACAUAUAAUUUCUACAGGUUGAAGGACCUCCCAAAACAAAACAAAUCUAUCAACCACAAACUCCAGUGUAAAAAACUGGCUCUAUGAAGACUUCAAAUCACCCUCACUUCCUUUGCAUAUAACCAUUUUUUUCUUCAGACAAAUAAAAAAUACAAUUAAGUUUAAUACAAGAAGAGGCUAAAAACAUUAGGAUAGAAUAUUAGAGUUUAAAGAUCUUUGCCUGGUUAUGGUCUAAAGAUAUUUGCUUUGAUUAAUAUAUGGUGUAACUCAUUAAUUAAAUGCAAAUUGAAAUAAGAUAAACCUGUCCCCAUAUCAUUUCUGGUAGACAAUAAUGUGCCAGUUUUCUCUCCAAUAAAUUAGAUGAGGCAAGCUUUCUGUUACUAAAUAAUAGCAAUAUGGGACAGGAGAAAAAAAUUUACCAUGAGGUGCUUUGGAAUUAUUCACAUGAAGAACUUUUUAUUUCUUACUUUCUUUUUCACUAAAAUAGUACUUUUUCUCAUUUUCAACCAAUUUUUAAAUAUGAGGUGUUUACAUUGCUUACUGUUCAAAUUAGCAUUGCAUACUUUCAGGCACAGACA
RNAcentral lists this long non-coding RNA (4198 nucleotides) under Homo sapiens (human). Its description in RNAcentral is "HSALNT0055286". Lineage: Eukaryota; Metazoa; Chordata; Mammalia; Primates; Hominidae. The record is from RNAcentral.